Molecule: transfer RNA, 69 nt
Filed under: Bos taurus (domestic cattle)
Lineage: Eukaryota; Metazoa; Chordata; Mammalia; Artiodactyla; Bovidae
Also listed under: 3 other names
Rfam family: tRNA
About the family: Transfer RNA (tRNA) molecules are approximately 80 nucleotides in length.
Source: Rfam by way of RNAcentral
CCCAGUAGCUCAGAUAGUAAAGCUUCUGCCUGCAAUGCAGGAGACCAGGGUUUGAUCCCUGGGUUGGGA